UGGGGAAUUUUGGACAAUGGGGGAAACCCUGAUCCAGCCAUCCCGCGUGUGCGAUGAAGGCCUUCGGGUUUAAAGCACUUUUGGCAGGAAAGAAACGUCAUGGGUUAAUACCCCGUGAAACUGACGGUACCUGCAGAAUAAGCACCGGCUAACUACGUGCCAGCAGCCGCGGUAAUACGUAGGGUGCAAGCGUUAAUCGGAAUUACUGGGCGUAAAGCGUGCGCAGGCGGUUCGGAAAGAAAGAUGUGAAAUCCCAGAGCUCAACUUUGGAACUGCAUUUUUAACUACCGGGCUAGAGUGUGUCAGAGGGAGGUGGAAUUCCGCGUGUAGCAGUGAAAUGCGUAGAUAUGCGGAGGAACACCGAUGGCGAAGGCAGCCUCCUGGGAUAACACUGACGCUCAUGCACGAAAGCGUGGGGAGCAAACAGG
RNAcentral lists this ribosomal RNA (428 nucleotides) under Acidobacteriota bacterium. RNAcentral describes it as "Acidobacteria bacterium partial 16S ribosomal RNA". It matches the Rfam family "Bacterial small subunit ribosomal RNA", at positions 355 to 776 of the family's 1533-position model. Lineage: Bacteria; Pseudomonadati; Acidobacteriota. The record is from RNAcentral.